UUGUGUCUUCGAGUCGUUGAUUUCACACUGCCGAGAAAAGCCUCUAGAUAGAAAAUAGGUGCCCGUACCGCAAACCGACACAGGUAGUCAAGAUGAGAAUUCUAAGGUGAGCGAGCGAACUCUCGUUAAGGAACUCGGCAAAAUGACCCCGUAACUUCGGGAGAAGGGGUGCUCUUUAGGGUUAACGCCCAGAAGAGCCGCAGUGAAUAGGCCCAAGCGACUGUUUAUCAAAAACACAGGUCUCUGCUAAACCGUAAGGUGAUGUAUAGGGGCUGACGCCUGCCCGGUGCUGGAAGGUUAAGAGGAGUGGUUAGCUUCUGCGAAGCUACGAAUCGAAGCCCCAGUAAACGGCGGCCGUAACUAUAACGGUCCUAAGGUAGCGAAAUUCCUUGUCGGGUAAGUUCCGACCCGCACGAAAGGCGUAACGAUUUGGGCACUGUCUCAACGAGAGACUCGGUGAAAUCAUAGUACCUGUGAAGAUGCAGGUUACCCGCGACAGGACGGAAAGACCCCGUGGAGCUUUACUGUAGCCUGAUAUUGAAAUUCGGCACAGCUUGUACAGGAUAGGUAGGAGCCUUUGAAACGUGAGCGCUAGCUUACGUGGAGGCGCUGGUGGGAUACUACCCUA
This 628-nucleotide ribosomal RNA is filed under the name Staphylococcus aureus. RNAcentral describes it as "partial 23S ribosomal RNA". It matches the Rfam family "Bacterial large subunit ribosomal RNA", at positions 1578 to 2207 of the family's 2925-position model. The record is from RNAcentral. Lineage: Bacteria; Bacillati; Bacillota; Bacilli; Caryophanales; Staphylococcaceae.